This 253-nucleotide ribosomal RNA is filed under the name uncultured bacterium. RNAcentral's name for it is "partial 16S ribosomal RNA". It matches the Rfam family "Bacterial small subunit ribosomal RNA", at positions 524 to 776 of the family's 1533-position model. The record is from RNAcentral.
UACGGAGGAUCCAAGCGUUAUCCGGAAUCAUUGGGUUUAAAGGGUCCGUAGGUGGACGAUUAAGUCAGGGGUGAAAUCUUGCAGCUCAACUGUAAAAUUGCCUUUGAUACUGGUCGUCUUGAGUUAUUGUGAAGUGGUUAGAAUAUGUAGUGUAGCGGUGAAAUGCAUAGAUAUUACAUAGAAUACCAAUUGCGAAGGCAGAUCACUAACAAUCAACUGACGCUGAUGGACGAAAGCGUGGGGAGCGAACAGG